Molecule: unclassified non-coding RNA, 353 nt
Filed under: soil metagenome
Description: partial contains 5.8S ribosomal RNA, internal transcribed spacer 2, and large subunit ribosomal RNA
Rfam family: 5.8S ribosomal RNA (bases 1-120)
Source: RNAcentral
GAUGAAGAACGUAGCGAAAUGCGAUACGUAAUGUGAAUUGCAGAAUUCCGUGAAUCAUCGAAUCUUUGAACGCACAUUGCGCCCGCCAGUAUUCUGGCGGGCAUGCCUGUUCGAGCGUCAUUACAACCCUCAGGCCCCCGGGCCUGGCGUUGGGGAUCGGCGGAAGCCCCCUGCGGGCACAACGCCGUCCCCCAAAUACAGUGGCGGUCCCGCCGCAGCUUCCAUUGCGUAGUAGCUAACACCUCGCAACUGGAGAGCGGCGCGGCCACGCCGUAAAACACCCAACUUCUGAAUGUUGACCUCGAAUCAGGUAGGAAUACCCGCUGAACUUAAGCAUAUCAAUAAGCGGAGGA